GGCUUGUAGCUCAGGUGGUUAGAGCGCACCCCUGAUAAGGGUGAGGUCGGUGGUUCAAGUCCACUCAGGCACA
This 73-nucleotide transfer RNA is filed under the name Escherichia coli. RNAcentral describes it as "tRNA-Ile". It matches the Rfam family "tRNA". From Rfam's summary of the family: Transfer RNA (tRNA) molecules are approximately 80 nucleotides in length. Their secondary structure includes four short double-helical elements and three loops (D, anti-codon, and T loops). Further hydrogen bonds mediate the characteristic L-shaped molecular structure. tRNAs have two regions of fundamental functional importance: the anti-codon, which is responsible for specific mRNA codon recognition, and the 3' end, to which the tRNAs corresponding amino acid is attached (by aminoacyl-tRNA synthetases). tRNAs cope with the degeneracy of the genetic code in two manners: having more than one tRNA (with a specific anti-codon) for a particular amino acid; and 'wobble' base-pairing, i.e. permitting non-standard base-pairing at the 3rd anti-codon position. The record is from RNAcentral. Lineage: Bacteria; Pseudomonadati; Pseudomonadota; Gammaproteobacteria; Enterobacterales; Enterobacteriaceae.